Molecule: non-coding RNA, 676 nt
Organism: Vicugna pacos (alpaca)
Lineage: Eukaryota; Metazoa; Chordata; Mammalia; Artiodactyla; Camelidae
Source: RefSeq, a predicted model, not a curated record
UCCAUUAAAAAAAUAAAUAAAAACCUAAUUACAUCUUCCCCCACAAAAAUUAAAAUAAAAUGAGAGAGUUUACUAAAUCCUGGCUCUAGGAAGAUCCAGGUCCUCAGGGCAGUCAAUAUCAAAUCUCUGCCUUUAAAAGCAUAGCAUGAAAUUAUAAUCUGAUGAACUCUCCUCCUCGGAGGACCUGCAUCUGCAUCAGCCAGUCAUUGUCACUGCAAGUUGAUCUCUAAGUGAAACUGCAAAUCUUCUCACAUAUACAGGAUUACAUGACGUUGAUGAAAGUAAUGUUGGAGAUCGCCAAGCCUUUGCCAAACAAGAUUUAGCCAACAAGGAUGGUGACAAGUGAAGGACAUGGCCAGCCUACAGACAAGACUAGGUGAUACCCUCGGGUAAUAAGAAGCACUGUAUGAAAGUAAACAGGCCCAGAACACCUUCUGGAACUCCAGAUUUGUACACCCAGCUGCUCUCCGCAGCCCCAUCCUCUCUCCACUACAACUCACUCUUACUCUCACUCAGUUCCCUGCAAGCCAUCAACACAGAAAGCAGAGAGUUUUAGAAAUCACAUCCUGUAGUGGAGAGAGCAGAUGAGCAUAAUGGAAAAGACAAAGGCGGCGGAAUGCAUGUCCUCCAUUAUAUCUGCAACUGGGUUAUGCUGUCCUUGGACACGAUUUUUAUA